UGGAGAAAAAUCUGGGGCUUUCACCUGCUACACAGAACACACCGAGGGCAGGGGAGGGAGGAAGUUCCCUGAGCUCCAAGAAGAGGACACUUCUGAAGGGGAAAUGCACAUGAGGGUUGCCCACGUCCACAGGGCACAGAGGAGCGCUGAGGUCCCACGGCACAGAGGGCCGGUGGAGGAGAAAUCUGGAGGCGUGGGGAUGGUUUCCUUGGAAUCAGUAGCAGGAUACCAGGAUCCUCCCAACCUGCACAGAAGGUUGUUUCUGAAUUUCCUGGCUCUAGAAGUUACGGAGAUACUUAUGAAAAUGUACUUAACUGCCAGUGAGUCAGCAUUCGUCGGUCUGAAACUCAUUUCCAGGAAUUAUGUGAUUUACAAGACUUGACUUCCAAACCUGGCGACUGACAUAGCAAAAGCAAGAAUAAAGAAACUCUCAAAUAUAAACGCCAGACGUCUUUCAAAUGCAAAAUACAGCAUGGUUUCUUCACUGAUCUCAAGAUGAAAGGUCACACUGAGCUGGAAAAGGAAACAUUCUUUAAAUUUAACAGUACUAAUGAAGACCAUUCUUGUUCUUUUGGAUUCAUCAAAUGUGGAACGAAUGCUUCAGGUGUAUUACCAGCAUCAUAACAAUGGACAGUAUCUGCUUCUGGCACCUAAGCAGAAUAAAUCCGAGGUUCUUGAUGGCCAUCCUUUCUAAGAACUGUCCAUUCUGCAGUCCCAUAAUGUCCAUAAAAUCCUGACAUUUCUUUUGUGGAGUCAAGACAAACCUUCAAGGCUGCAGAACUUGGCUUAUUGUUGCAGCAAGCCAAGACGAGCAGGUACCAUGUGACUCUGCAAAAUCAGAGGGUCCAGCUGACUUCAGCAGACUCCAUAUGGGCAGCAUUGAUUUGAAUGUGCACCCUGAAUCCUUGAAGGAUUCAGUCCCUCCCAUGCAGAAGAAGGACAAAUUCUGAGUGGGAAUGAUAGCUAUCAACCAGAUGCUCAUUUGCACGCCCGAGGGUCACUGAGAAACAGGAACAAAAGUGGGUAUAGCUCCAUGACGAUUUUGAACGAGCUAUCUGGAAGUUGGUGCAUGCUGCUGCAGGGAAGACCUUUGAAGACCUUUCUGGGACUCCUAAAUGCUGUUCGGUUCCAGUCAUGGCUUAUUGCUGGUGAUUCAUUCUUUGGGGAGCCAUGUAUUCACUACUUUACAGAUGUGGAUCCUGGCACAAUUCUGCAAAACAGCUAAGGACUUGCUCCAUCUCUUGCUCUGGGAACCCAAAGCCGGACGCUGUUCUAGAUGUGCUGUCAUCAGUGCCGAAUAGACGCGAAUGAAAAAUGGUUGGUGGAACUUUCUUUUAAGAGGACAAUAUGAUCCAAAACCUGAUUCUGAAAAAAAAAUGCAUCCUUUUAAUUGCUAUUUGAAGAAAAUAUACAUACAAAUUAGUCUUGAAUCUCUCUGAGGAAAUAAAUGUUGUGGCUUUACUUACUGGCUUCCACAACUUGGACCAUGAUAAACUUAUUUCACAAUAGGAGGAAGGUAGUCUGUGAUUAAAAAUGAAUUAAAGGUGGAGAUUACAAUCAAAAUAAUUUAGGAUUUGUACUUUGCAAAUAAAAUGCAACAAAUUAAACAUUGAAGUAGAAAAAAUAGCAAUGGAUGUGUACGAAAGAUAAGUUUGCAUGUUUGGCAUUAUCACUGAUAUGACAGCAUAGUCUUAAAUUCAGGCAUACCUGAAAUGGAGAUAAAAAUAGAUUUUUUUGAAUCAUAGGAAUAUAUUGUACUUACACUUCACUGCUAAGAUUUUUCCACUGAGGGCUAAUGUAGCCAUUAACACUCACAAUUGUCUGCCUGCAUAAGCAGACUGCCUGUCUGUAUAAGAGCUGCUUCUUAGAGGGUAUCAGUUAAUUACCUCACUUGAGUGCAAUAGAAGUGAAGAUGUGUCCUGGAGUUUACACACACUUAUUGUCCCUAGAUCCUCCUAAUGGUAGAAAAUCACAUCAGUCUCCUACUGUCAAACAUUUAAAAUUUGGAAGCCUGAAACUUGGCAUAUAAUUUCAAAGUCACGAGCGCUACAACUUGAAGAAGAGAAGCAACUGUGUAAAUGCCGCAGCCACAGCUGAUAGUGCUGAUUGAUGGGUUUGUCUUGGGAUCCAGCUGUCCUUAUUAAAAAGGACAUUAUUAAAGAAUAUGGGCUGCCAAAGCACAUGCUAAUUUAAGCUUCCCAGAAAGUCAUGCGUGCUGUGGGGGAAAAUUUACUAUGCCUCAAUAGAUCUGCAAAAUUUCUACAUACUUUACAGGCUUCCGUGCCGAGCACUGUACGUGAGCCUUCUGUACAGCAGAAAAUAUUUCUUUUUUCCCCAUGUGUUUUCCAGUGUUUCCACAGCUGCAUCUUGCACUGCUGCAGCGGAAGAGGGGCUGACUGCUGCACUCCCAGGCUCGCAGGAAAGGAUUUCUGGCCAAAUCAUACCACGGGCAGAAACACACCCCGGCUAAAUUUGCUGCUUCUGAGGAGUGGGUUGCAAAAACUGCCUGGAGUCACGCAAGUGAUGCAAAGGCAAAGGCAGGAAGCCGAGCUUGUCUUAGGAUCCUUACUUAUCAGAAAAAAAAAUAAAUAUAAAAAGAAUUUUAAUGCAAUAGAAAAGAUUUAAAUUUUGCAGCAAAAGAAGAAAAUUCACACAGGAAGGUCCAAGUUCAAAUGAAUUUAAAUCUGAUCAUGAAAGACUGAUGGAGGGCUUCUAGUCAGCAAAGCAGUUCAUUACCUGACUAUUUAUAGCAUGCCAUUAGCAAAGGUGAUCCAAAUGAAAUAGUCCACCAUUUUGUUUUCAUGUUCGGUUUGACAGCAGUCACUGGAAAUUACCCUCACAGGUUUGAUAGGAUUCCCGUGGCUAGCAAGAGCGGGAACAAUUCAAUAUUAUAAAGUAUUUAUAAGUCCCUAAGGCAUAUUUAUAGAUGUCCUUGGCAACAUCAAUUUCCAGCCUGUUAAUAGCUUUAAAAGCAGAACUGUAGACCUUUUCUAGUCACCAAAAGGCAGCAAACGCUGACAGACAAGUAGUGAGUAGGCAGAUGCCUCUCUGCCCACCUCUGAUAACAAUCAAGUCACUGUAUUGUGCAUUAGCUUCAGGGAAUGGAUUAGCCCUUUUGGCAGCCCACUAUAAAGCACUUUGCAGUAAUCUCAUUUUGAGAUCUCAAAUGCAUGAAUCAUCCAGGUCAAGUAUAAAUCGUGCUUUGAGGGCCAGAUUCUUAUCUUGCUUACGCUGCAAUGAAUAGAGAGCAAUUGCAUUAAAACCAAUGGUGUUAUACAGCAUGAUAAAAUCAGUAUGUGGGUAAUCAGAAUUGGGCCCUAAGGGUAAAAACUGGCAUGCUAGUAAAAGUUAGCCGAGGGAAGAUGUAUGGGUUGCUAUAUAUAACAGUAAAGAAUCAACUACUUUCUCCUAACACUGGAGCUUCCUGACUUCUUAACACUGGAGCUUUCUUCUAACACUGGAGCUAACAAGGAGCUUUCUUACAAUGAAGAAAUGGAGUGGUCCAAAUCCAACCGAAUAUUUAAGCUCCUAACUGAUCAGAUUCCUAGUUAUUCAUUGAAUUCGCUGGACCUGCUCAUUGACUAAGUUAUAACCGUUUCCCACAUGGCUGGAUAGGCAGGCAGGCUUGAACAUUUGCACCCAUGCAUGCUCCCAUCACACAGCUGUACGUCCAUCUGGCUUGGCGUGAGCUCACUCCUGGCCUCGAGGUGACCCCGCUUGUUGGGUACAUCGAAGAGACAGUGGAGCUGGGAAAAGAUGGUGGACGAUGGGCUACUAGAUGACUUUAUAUAACCCUUGUCCUGCUCCCACUCACAUCCAAAGGACUCGGGGGGAAAAGAGGGCUAAACUGACUGGCUGCUGGGGGAGCUGUUUGUGGGGGUCGCAUCAGCCUUGUAGGCAGUACCUUUGGGUUUUCCCAGUUCGAUCAGUUCUGAGACUACUGACUUCAGGGUGAGUGAGCUGCAGUCUGUGUCCUCAGAACAAGGCAUACAUUUUUCAGUUUCAUAUAAUUUAAACACGGUAUGUAGCACAGAGACAUAUUCCUCAGGCAAGAGUACCUAGGUGUGAAAGACCUAAACACUUAAGCUUCCUCAAACCUACUCUUAUUAAUAGCUGGCAGUGCACAUGUUUAUAAGGUUUUUUGGGGGGGGUUUUUUGUUCUUUUUUUUUGAGGCAGCUGAUCUUGCAGCUUUUUUCCUGCCUCAUCCCCACCUUUCCCUUUAAAUUGUUUAUAUUUUUCAAAUUUUUAGGUUCCUGCUGAGCAGUGUAGAUUUAUUCUGCUGGUGGAGGGAGCAAGGACUGGGCCCGGGGCUAAUGCAAGAAUUUGCUGAAGAGUUGCACACAGCUUUUCCUUUGCAAACUGCUCAUUCAACCAGUUCACUCUUUCCUGAAGGUUUGGUUUGGAAAUGAUGUGCUUAAAGCUGUCUGGACCUCGACAGCUUCAAAUGCAGAGCACGCAAGCUGUGUCCAGGAAUCUGAAAUGGGACAAGAGGCUUCAUUAGCCGAUGACCUCUGAUAAAAGAAAACUGGGCUCAAAGGAACUUGCAGGGAUCAGGUAGUCCAUGCCUUACCUUGCAGCAAGCUUAGCUCUACCUAGAUCACUACUGACAAAUGUUAAUCUACCCUCUUCUUAAAAAUCUCCUCUGGGGCAGAUUGUCCUGCCUGCUGAAGCAACCUAUUCUGCUAUUUAUUUGUCCUUAGUCACCUACUGAUUUGUAAUAACUCUUAGAAUUUGGACUGGCCUGAAUGGAGAAUUCCCAGCUUCGUUAUUCUAUUGCCAACAAAGAUGGUUUUGGAGUAUUGAGCACUGGAGUAUACACCUUUGAAGUUUUAUGGAGCGGGGAAGACCAUAACUCUUGCUUCAAGUUUCAAGCAUGUUCUCUGAUGUUUUUUGAAGCAAAAUAAAGAGGGUCCUUCAGUGAUCCUGAGCUCAAGCUGCUUGCAAGGCAAGCUUAUGGAAGCUGAAAUUUGUGCAACCACAAGUCAAGCUCAGACUUCUAGCACUGUGAAGCAUCUGGCUGCACAGUGGGGAAUCUGUCAGCCUUGUGAACUGGAUCUCCUAUGCUCUGCCACAGGCAGUGCAGGCUGGGUGAUGGAAGGGUAGGCAUAUUUCCCUUAGAGGGUUAAACUAAACUAGUGUGUCCCUGCUAAAUAUGCAAAUUAUUUAACUGGUGCAUUCUGGUAGGAAAAGAAAAAGUCCAGUUGGAAAUUAUUAACAAACCUUUCAGAAAAACACCCUCCCACCAUGUGUUUAUCAAAUAUGCUAAUUAUUUGCCCUGAGAUAGUUCUAGUGAUGCUUUUCCCUGCAUUUGUUGGGUAACUGUGCAGAUGCAAGACACUUUUAGGUCAUUCUACAAGAUCAUUUCCGUUUGCAUUUUCUUGUAUUAGGUCUCUAUACUGACAGACUCGACUUCAGCUUGAAAGGUUGCCAGGGAAGAGCCUUACUGGAUGUGGGCUUUGUAGGAAGAGAUCUAACAAACGGAGGGAAAAUACUGAAUUUUGUGUAUGUGUGCAGUUUUGUGAUUGUGUCUCAUUGCCUGCAAUGUUAUCAGCUUUCAUUAUGAUUAAUUCUGAGCUGGCAAUGAAACAAACUGCCUGCAUACAGACAUUCACAGGAACAUCGCUUUGAGUGGAUUCACAGCUUCUUGGUUCACUUUCGAAAAACUUCAAAGAAGUAGUUAGGCCGUUUUAGUUUGUCUGUUUUGCAGCCAGAACACCAAUAUUUAUGAUUCUGCACAUUGUUUGAUCCUUCUGUUAAUGUCUUCAUACUGGCUGAAAAUGUUUUUUUCAAAAGUUAAAAAGAAACCUCAGCUAUAGCAAGAACUCUUGCCUGUGGAAAUAAACCUUGUGCUACUACUCAGCUGCCAUUCAAGCCCAGGGUGAUGAGGAGUGUUUGCAGAAAAAUGCAUGCUGAAUGCAAGAGCACCUUCUUCUCUGCUUACACUUUGCUCCCUUUCACAGCACUUGGAAUUUAAAUGCCUUAGUGACCAGGUUCACUUUGUUUUGCUGGAAAAUGUUAUUCUCUCCUCACAAGCCUACAACAUCUACAGAAAUACAAGUCGUUUCCUUACAAAAGAGGGGAGCAAAAGCUAUUCUGUCCGAUACUUGGGCAAGAAGUAGCACAAACAAAUACUGCUCAAUUACACAAAAUGAAUUGAAUGUGAAGGCAGGACACGUCUUUGCAGCGUGCAAACAACCCAGAACAGGGACAGGACUUUUGUUACUACAGAACUGUUACGAGAUGUUCCCUCUCCGCAGCGGUGGAGAGGGAAAGGAAUGCAGCCAUCAGGCACGCUGUCCUUCAUUCUUGUAACCUUCAUCCCCGAUGCUUGAAAACAUGCCAAACACAUGCACACCUCCUUCAGCAAAGGGAGUCUACUUGUGACUGUGGUUAUUUGAGACCUCUUUUAAGAAAUCAAGAUUCUUCCUGGAGCUUAAUUAGUGAGGGUGUCUGCUCCAGCAUCUCACAUAGCACCCGCAAGGAAUAUCUGGAUGGUGUUUUUUAUGCUGAUUCUGGGAGAGCUUGUCUCCAUGAAAAGAACUGAGAGGCAGAAGGAGCAGGAGAAAAUACAGAGAAGACAGGAACAAGAAAAGGCCAAGAAGAACAAGUAUGAGUGGACCAUGAAGGUGCUUGCAAUGACCAAAAUCACUUUGGAUAUAAUUCAGAUCCCAGCUAAGUCACUGGCACGUGGCCGUCUCUUUGUGAACUGGAUGUUUAAAAGUCCAUUAAAGUUAAUGGAAACCUAAUGGGUACACACAGGGAGUCUAGAGGCUAUUCAGCUGACCAAAUGUCACUGUGUGGGAGAUACAAUUCCAGCUGAGGCAUUACCAGAAGGGGAAGGUAGGUGAAGAUUACUUUGCAUAUUUUGCAUAAAACCCACCUGUUUCUUUAUGUCAGAGGGAGGUAAGUAGAUAUAGUUAUGUAAGGUAGAUAUAGUUAUUCUUAACUCAGUAACUCAUGUUACUUAUUGUUAACUCAUUCAGUUUUCAGGCUUUUCUCCUAAAAAUUACAUUUAUCCAGUGCUUUCCUGUCUUUUAUUUUUGCAGUUAAUUAUUCCUACCUUUUCACCUAUCCUUGCUGAAUUGCAUCCUAUUUAUUUCAUAAAGAGUACUCCCCACUCUGUUGUCCUAGUCGUUAAUGGAAAUGCUGAGAAAUACUAGAAGCAAGCUGAAUUUUUGCAGAAAACCAGAGAUAUCCUUCUAGUUUGACAGUGAACACUGAUAAAUUUUGGCAUAAAUUUUUUACAAGCAACUAUAUAUAUCUUACAGCAUUUUAAGCUAGGGCAGGCAUUUAGAAAACAUGGUAUAAGUGCUCCCAAUACUCAGCAAGUUUCAAAGUAGGUUGAAUACUAUGAGAUAGCAAAAUGACUCCUUUGCACCUGAAUGCUGCCCAGCAGAGUCGGGACUUGCUGCUAAUACUGGCAGUAGUGGCCGAGGAAACCAGGCUGGGGACCCCUAUCUACAGGACAUUCCUCUAGCUCCUCUGAGAAAAUGCUGUGUUAGUAGGCCUUCUAAUGGUGUUUCAAGUCAAAACACAGCAUGUCAUAUCCACCUCUUUAAAGUGUUUCUGAUCUGUUGUAGAAUUAAGUUAUUAUUUGACAUCGGUUGGCCUUGAGAAAUCCAUGUUGGUGUCACUGGCUUCUAAGGGCUUGUAAAUUAAUGUUUUUUUGUUUUAUUUUAGGCAGUGUUGGAGUUAGGCUGACUAGACUAUAAUUCUGAUACUUCUCCCUUCCUACUCCAGGCUUUUUGGUUUUUUUCUGUUUUCACCUCUCCUCCAUAAUUCUCAAAGACAAUUGUGAACUGCCUGGAUUGCAUCACCCCAGAAUGAAUUCCACCAGGUCAGCCUGAUCCAGAAGAGGACUGGCACACAGCUGAAGUGCUCUGGACAUCCUGUGGGAAUGCCUCCACUCUGACUUGAUAGCAGCUGAUAUGCUCACCCAGAAGAGAGGAUCUAGUUAACCCUGCUGUUGGCACUGAAGCUGAACCAAGUAUACGUUGGACAACUGGCAAAAGUCUCAGAACUACAUUUUAAAUGCGUUUAAGUGUCUAAGUGCUUAUGCAAACACUGUUCUGUAUUUUGUGGUAGUUUCCACAAAAUCCAAAGAAUACAUCAACAAUAAUCAGUGAGAUGUAAUUUUAGAGAUUCCAAGCUAGACUGAGGUAAGACAGCAUGCGAAUAUAGUAACUUGAGUCUUGGAAGCAGUUUAGAAUUGCAAAAUAUUGGACUAAUCAAUCCUGCUUAGAAUUACAUUACUGGACUAAUCAAUGCUGCUUUUUAACAGGGCAGUUGCCUUGGAACAGGAUUGCUGCUUCUGGUGCUGAAGUUGAGUGCUGGUUUGAGUGCUUUGCUAUGCUGUACUGCACAGUGUAAAUUCAUUGAGUCAAUAGGAUCAACUCAUGAUCACAGAUAUUUCAGUUUUUGAGAGCCAGAGACUUGCAACCUAGCCGUCGAAGGAAGUUCAUAGUGGCUUUCUGCUUUUCUCAAGUGAAACUCAGUCUGUGACUAAAAGUUUCUUUAAAAGACAUUGUUUAUUGAGAAGUAUUAUUAAAAAAGAACCUGAACUAGGACUUCAUAAACUUCUGAAAUAUCAAAUGUGUGUAAGAAGUGUAUUUAAAAGAACUCUGUUGAGGAGAUAUAGCAUGCUAGUAUGCUUCAAAUAACUCUCAGUUUGGCAUAGUCAUAUGUUCAGAGAAGGGUUUUCAUGUAUUCCAAAAUAUACACAAAAGUUUUUCCAUUUAAACGAGUCACUUUUUGUUACAUGGGAAUUCAAAGUAAUUUACCUGUACAUCUGUAAAGCAAAUGCAAUAAAUAUAUUUGUCUUGUAUUUGGAUUCAGCUCUGCAGAAUCAUUUUCUUUUUUCCAGCUAAGUGAAAAUAUGAAGGAUGACUGAAAAUGAAUGCUGGGGUAUUUUAU
Long non-coding RNA from Dromaius novaehollandiae (emu), 8914 nucleotides. RefSeq lists it as uncharacterized. The record is from RefSeq and is a predicted model, not a curated record. The transcript has 11 exons. Lineage: Eukaryota; Metazoa; Chordata; Aves; Casuariiformes; Dromaiidae.